AAUAUCAUCUGUCAAGAAAAAUGCAGAGUUCUCAAGAGCUUCUGCUGCUGUCUUUUAAAGAAAACAUAGCUAGACAAAGUAGCUCAGCAUUUAAUACACUGAAAAUUAAACCCCUGCUAACGCCAAAGUAGGGGGCAUUAGAAAGUCCUAACUAAGUGUUCGUUCAGUUCUGAAAGAGUGAAUAGAUAAUCUGCAAUUCCUCUAGUAGUUACUGUCUGAAAUUGAUGAUGACUGUGAAGUUCUCUCCUGGUGCACUCAGCAGCGUUUGCCUUCUGACAGGUCUGAAGUAUUCUCAGUCUAAGAAGUAUUUAGAAUAUAUCACUGAAUGUCCUCCAACUUCGUGAGAUUUUAAUAAUUGAGAAGAACUAUGCAACAACUGCGAAACACCAGUUUUUACAUCAAGUUUUUCCUUAAAUACCAUCUAUUUGAAUAUUGGCUUUCCUGAAACUUAAUGAUUUAGAUUUAAUACACUUCAAAGGCAGUUGAACAAAAAUGAUGAAUUCAUGAGAUAGUUCAUUGCCCUUCUAGAAUGAGAAUUGAAUUGUCAUGUUUGUCAGGAGUUUAAAAAUAGGAUAUGUUUUUUCUCUUUAGGUGACAAAACUUUAAAAAUCACAAUGUGACAGGGACAGUUCUUCUGAUGCUUAAGAUCUGCUCACCUUUGCUGUAGAGAGAAUAAUGCUCCUUUCUGCUUAGUUUGAGGUAUAAUUUGGUUUUGGAAUCACCAUCAAAUCUGGCAGGUGUAUUCAUCAAUUUCUUGAACUUCUUACAUGGCUGUGUUUGAAUUUCAAAGCCUUUCCUGUUAAAUUGUAAUUUUAGAGUAUGUUCACAAUCAGCACAUUUUGGAUUCACCACCAAAAAUAAGCUCCACAGGUUGGACCAAAUUACACAGCGCAGACCUUGGCAGCUGCCCAUCAUCUUACAUUACCAAGUUUUAAAGACAUUUGUCUUGACUGCAAAAUAAUUCUCUCUUAUGCAGCCAGAAUUAAAUUGUUUCCCUUAUAGUUAAGUAGCACAGAAUAGCCUUCAAUACAACUUCUAACAUUAAAAUUAGAAUCACUAAGAGAAUAAACCAAAUUCUCUUAUGAAAGAUGAAACAAACUAAUUCAAAUGCAGCAGUCAUUGGGGGUUUCAUUAAACAAUCGAUCAAUUGCUGGGAAGUUUUGAUUCUUGCUGAAAAGAGUGCUGACCUGAAUGCUGAGUUCCCUCACUAAUUUGGCUUUGACAUUUCUACACACAACUGUAUGCCUCUUUUAGCAUAGCUAGUAAAAGUAUCUGUUAAAUGCUAGUGAAUAUACUGGAAUGUUUAUAAAUCCUGCAAUUCACAUAAGCAUAUGUGAAUCAUAGAAUCAUAAAAUCAGCUGGGUUGGAAAAGACCUUUAAGAUCAAGUUCAGCUGUUACACCAGGACUGCCAAGGCCAUGUCACUGAGGACCUCAUCUACGCAGUGAAGAGUGCAUAGCAUUUCAGAAUACCUCACCAAAAGCUGGCAUUCCUCAUAGAGAGAAAUCUUUUGACUUCUGAGGUAUGUCCCAAUACUUUUUAUAUCAUGAAGCACUAUGCUAGGUCUGGAUUUUGUCUGUGUGGGGUUCACGUCUUCUAUCCACUUGAAAAAUGAACACUGCUCAGCUUUGGGGGCAUCACAGGUAUAGAAUAAAUGACUCUGCAUGGUGUUAUACCGACCUGUCAGAGCAGCUUUAAAAAUCUGUUUGUACUGAACGUGAGACUGAAACAUGGCUGGUAUGAAAGUCUUCCUUUUAGGAAGGUUUGCAUGUUUUACUUUAUCCACGUGAGGAAAAGACAACUCACAAAUUGAUAUAUCCUAAAAACCAGAAAAAUACCAUUACAACUUGCAAAACCCUGAAUGAGAUAAACGUUGAUAAAUGGCUACUUUGCAGAUGUGCCAAAACCUAUCCAUAUUUCUCCUCUUU
This is a long non-coding RNA of Pezoporus occidentalis (night parrot), 1927 nucleotides long. RefSeq lists it as uncharacterized. The record is from RefSeq and is a predicted model, not a curated record. Lineage: Eukaryota; Metazoa; Chordata; Aves; Psittaciformes; Psittacidae. The transcript is spliced from 2 exons.